AGGGAUGCUGUGCUGCGGGCUGACGCACAUGGGAGUGACGCCCAUCGACGUGGUGAAGUGCAACAUGCAGAUCGCCCCGGAGAAGUACAAGUCGAUCUCGGGAGGGUUUUCGUUGAUCGUGAAGGAGCACGGGGUGGUGGGUCUGUUCCGAGGGUGGGUGCCUACGCUGCUUGGGUACAGUGUGCAGGGUGCUUGCAAGUACGGGUUCUACGAGUACUUUAAGAAGACAUACUCGGACAUGGCCGGGCCGGAGAACGCCAAGAAGUACAAGACGGUGAUCUACUUGGCAGGGUCUGCGUCCGCGGAGGUGAUUGCGGAUGUGGGGUUGUGCGCAUUCGAGGCCGUGAAGGUGAGAGUGCAGACGAACCCGGGAUUCGCGAAGGGACUGAGCGACGGGAUGCCGAAGCUGAUUGCGUCGGACGGUGUGAAGGGGCUGUUCAAGGGUUUGGUGCCAUUGUGGGGACGGCAGAUCCCGUACACGAUGAUGAAGUUCGCUACGUUCGAGAGCACGGUGGAGGCGAUCUACAAGUACGCGGUGCCAGUGCCGAAGAGCGAGGUGUCGUCGAGCUCACAGUUGGGUAUCUCGUUCACGGCGGGAUACAUUGCGGGAGUGGCUUGCGCCAUCAUUUCGCACCCGGCGGACAACUUGGUGUCGUUCCUGAACAAGUCGAAGGAUGCGACGGUGAAGCAGGCGAUUGACCAGAUGGGGUUGAAGGCGUUGUUCACCCGGGGGCUGCCAUUGCGUAUUAUCAUGAUCGGUACAUUGACGGGAGCACAGUGGGGUAUCUACGAUUCGUUCAAGGUGUUCGUGGGUCUGCCAACGACCGGUGGUGUGGUUGAGGAGCCUAAGAAGGAGUAGAGGGUUGAGUUGAAGUUUUUUUUUUUUUUUUUUUUUUUCUUUCUUUUCUUCUUCCUAUCUUGGGGGUAGCCAUGAGACAUUGAGGAGCCAUUUGUGCAAAUUCAGGCGGGACGUAUUGUUACCAUGUUACUUAGGGGAGGGGGUGGCUGAUUGGAAUGAAUUUGUUAGUGUAGGAGGACGUGUGGAAGUUACGGAGAUUUUAUCUUCUUUUGUUACACUCCUCGGGGAUAGCCUU
RNAcentral lists this long non-coding RNA (1094 nucleotides) under Physcomitrium patens. RNAcentral describes it as "long non-coding RNA (PPAT_LNC006946)". The record is from RNAcentral. Lineage: Eukaryota; Viridiplantae; Streptophyta; Bryopsida; Funariales; Funariaceae.